RNAcentral lists this ribosomal RNA (211 nucleotides) under Xylariales sp. Its description in RNAcentral is "partial large subunit ribosomal RNA". The record is from RNAcentral. Lineage: Eukaryota; Fungi; Ascomycota; Sordariomycetes; Xylariales.
AAGCGCCUAUGACCAGACUUGUGUCUGGCAGCUCCGUAAGCCUUCUGGCUUGCGUACUCUGCCUGAUUCAGGCCAGCAUCGGUUUCUGGAGGGGGACAAAAGCAGCUGGAACGUAGCUCUCUUCGGGGAGUGUUAUAGCCUGUUGCAUAAUACCCUUCUGGGGACCGUGGAUCGCGCUCUGCAAGGAUGCUGGCGUAAUGGUCAUCAGCGA